UGGAGAGUGGCGCACGGGUGAGUAACGCGUGGGGACCUACCUCUUAGUGGGGGAUAACGGUUGGAAACGACCGCUAAUACCGCAUACGCCCUUCGGGGGAAAGAUUUAUCGCUAAGAGAUGGACCCGCGUUGGAUUAGAUAGUUGGUGAGGUAACGGCUCACCAAGUCAGCGAUCCAUAGCUGGUUUGAGAGGAUGAUCAGCCACACUGGGACUGAGACACGGCCCAGACUCCUACGGGAGGCAGCAGUGGGGAAUAUUGGACAAUGGGGGCAACCCUGAUCCAGCCAUGCCGCGUGAGUGAAGAAGGCCUUCGGGUUGUAAAGCUCUUUCAGAUGCGAAGAUGAUGACGGUAACAUCAGAAGAAGCCCCGGCUAAUUUCGUGCCAGCAGCCGCGGUAAUACGAAAGGGGCUAGCGUUGUUCGGAUUUACUGGGCGUAAAGGGCACGCAGGCGGUCUUGCCAGUCAGGGGUGAAAGCCCGGGGCUCAACCCCGGAACUGCCUCUGAUACUGCAAGACUAGAGACUAG
Molecule: ribosomal RNA, 527 nt
Filed under: marine sediment bacterium BB0608_AND_7.2_10G0
Lineage: Bacteria
Description: bacterial SSU rRNA
Rfam family: Bacterial small subunit ribosomal RNA
Source: RNAcentral